RNAcentral lists this long non-coding RNA (1139 nucleotides) under Homo sapiens (human). RNAcentral's name for it is "PPP1R3B divergent transcript, transcript variant 6 (PPP1R3B-DT)". Lineage: Eukaryota; Metazoa; Chordata; Mammalia; Primates; Hominidae. The record is from RNAcentral.
AGCGCGCCCGGAGUGAUCCGGCUGCGGGCCAGGGUCUGGGAAGGGGGUGGUGGGUCGCCGUUUCAUCAGAAGCCGGAGGACGGGCGCCAGGGGGCAACUUCCUACAGGAGGGCGUCCCGUUAGAAUGACAGGGCUUUUGCAAAAGUCUGACACCCGUGGCACAGAGCGCCCCAGAUAUGGAGGGUUUCACAGGCUCAUGUGUGGCUUCUUCAGUCCUCUCUUCAUUCACUCAUGUAUUCAUUUAUUCAACGACAUAUUACUAAGGAACCUCCUUAAGCCGGGAUGCUGAACGUGGAAAAAUAGUUGACUCUUGAACAAUGUGGGGGCUUGGGGCACCAACCCCCUGUGCAGUUGAAAAUCGACAUAUAACUUUGACUCGCCAAAAACUUCACUACAAUAGCCUGCUGCCAACCUGAAGUCUUACCAAUAACAUCAACAGUCAAUUAAACAUAUUACUAGGCUGAAAAGGAGAAGGAAGUGAAGGGGUUGGUCUUGCCGUCUCACGAGUGGCAGAGGCAGGAGAAAAUCCAAAUGUCUGGGAUGUUUCUCUUGCAUGCCUCUGGAAUCAAAUGACUCUGAUACUGCAAGCACUUCAGAGUAUGUAUAAGCAAUUUCAGCUGGUUCCGUCCUGAUAUUUACAAAACUGCCUGGAUCAUACUUACAACCAUGCAAUGAUAUAUAUUUCUAUUAAGAAAGCAACGAUUUGCUUGAAAGAUGAAGGAAAACAAACUAAGUAUUUAUGUACAAUGAGUCCUAAGUGUACACCACUAUGUUUUCCAUCAGCUUUUGAUUUUCUGUCACUCCUCUUUUUCUUUGAAAUUUAGAGUCAGAAGUGAACUGACUUCAUGGUUUUCCUCAUGAUUAUUUGAUAUCCUCUAGGGAAUCAUGACUUAAAGACUGCAUUCUUCCUUCUCAAAACUCAUGUUAAAGAUUUCUCCAUGCAGAGCCACAGGCUAUUUUGGAGUUUGAAAUGGAGCAGUUAAAACUAGGAGGUCACACACGUUGAGAUUAUUCCUUCACUGCAUCUCGCCCGGCUUGUGUGCCUGAGGAGACACGCAUCUCAGAGGGCAGAGGGGCAGCCGUUGUCUAGUGAGGUUAUUUCACCUACUAUAUAAUAAAAUGUACAGGACAAUAGCGCA